Molecule: ribosomal RNA, 757 nt
Filed under: uncultured bacterium
Lineage: Bacteria
Description: bacterial SSU rRNA
Rfam family: Bacterial small subunit ribosomal RNA
Source: RNAcentral
GAGUUUGAUCCUGGCUCAGGAUGAACGCUAGCGGCAGGCUUAACACAUGCAAGUCGAGGGGUAACAGGGGUAGCAAUACUUGCUGACGACCGGCGCACGGGUGAGUAACGCGUAUGCAACCUACCUCUAACUGAGGCAUAGCCCGGAGAAAUCCGGAUUAAUACCUCAUAAUAUUUCGAAUUCGCAUGUUUUCGAGAUUAAAGUUCAGACGGUUAGAGAUGGGCAUGCGUGACAUUAGUUAGUUGGUGAGGUAACGGCUCACCAAGACUGCGAUGUCUAGGGGGUCUGAGAGGAUGGUCCCCCACACUGGUACUGAGACACGGACCAGGCUCCUACGGGAGGCAGCAGUGAGGAAUAUUGGGCAAUGGACGCAAGUCUGACCCAGCCAUGCCGCGUGCAGGAUGACUGCCCUAUGGGUUGUAAACUGCUUUUAUUUGGGAAGAAACCCUCGCUCGUGAGCGAGGCUGACGGUACCAAAAGAAUAAGCAUCGGCUAACUCCGUGCCAGCAGCCGCGGUAAUACGGAGGAUGCAAGCGUUAUCCGGAUUUAUUGGGUUUAAAGGGUGCGUAGGCGGAAAUUUAAGUCAGUGGUGAAAUCCUACAGCUCAACUGUAGAACUGCCAUUGAUACUGAUUUUCUUGAGUAUAGUUGANGUGGGCGGAAUGUGUAAUGUAGCGGUGAAAUGCUUAGAGAUUACACAGAACACCGAUUGCGUAGGCAGCUNNCACUAAACUNACUGACGCUCAGGCACGAAAGCG